GAUGAACGCUGGCGGCGUGCCUAAUACAUGCAAGUCGAGCGAACGGACGAGAAGCUUGCUCCUCUGAUGUUAGCGGCGGACGGGUGAGUAACACGUGGAUAACCUACCUAUAAGACUGGGAUAACUUCGGGAAACCGGAGCUAAUACCGGAUGAUAUUUUGAACCGCAUGGUUCAAAAGUGAAAGACGGUCUUGCUGUCACUUAUAGAUGGAUCCGCGCUGCAUUAGCUAGUUGGUAAGGUAACGGCUUACCAAGGCAACGAUGCAUAGCCGACCUGAGAGGGUGAUCGACCACACUGGAACUGAGACACGGUCCAGACUCCUACGGGGAGCAGCAGUAGGGAAUCUUCCGCAAUGGGCGAGAGCCUGACGGAGCAACGCCGCGUGAGUGAUGAAGGUCUUCGGAUCGUAAAACUCUGUUAUUAGGGAAGAACAUAUGUGUAAGUAACUGUGCACAUCUUGACGGUACCUAAUCAGAAAGCCACGGCUAACUACGUG
Molecule: ribosomal RNA, 497 nt
Filed under: uncultured bacterium
Lineage: Bacteria
Description: partial 16S ribosomal RNA
Rfam family: Bacterial small subunit ribosomal RNA
Source: RNAcentral